Molecule: unclassified non-coding RNA, 200 nt
Filed under: Pleomassariaceae sp.
Lineage: Eukaryota; Fungi; Ascomycota; Dothideomycetes; Pleosporales; Pleomassariaceae
Description: partial internal transcribed spacer 2
Source: RNAcentral
UUAAGUUCAGCGGGUAUCCCUACCUGAUCCGAGGUCAAAGUAAAAAAGAGGCUUAAUGGAAGGAGUUAUGCUGAAAUUAUGACGCAAUGUGCUGCGCACGAAGCCAACAUACUGGCUGCCAAUGAAUUUAAGGCGAGUCCACGCGCUGAGGCGGAACAAACACCCAACACCAAGCAGAGCUUGAAGGUUUAAAUGACGCU